This 253-nucleotide ribosomal RNA is filed under the name uncultured bacterium. Its description in RNAcentral is "partial 16S ribosomal RNA". It matches the Rfam family "Bacterial small subunit ribosomal RNA", at positions 524 to 776 of the family's 1533-position model. The record is from RNAcentral.
UACGGAGGGUCCAAGCGUUAUCCGGAAUCAUUGGGCUUAAAGGGUCCGUAGGCGGUUUUGUAAGUCAGAGGUGAAAGCCCAUCGCUCAACGGUGGAACGGCCAUUGAUACUGCAAGACUUGAAUUAUUGGGAAGUAACUAGAAUAUGUAGUGUAGCGGUGAAAUGCUUAGAGAUUACAUGGAAUACCAAUUGCGAAGGCAGGUUACUGCCAAUAUAUUGACGCUGAUGGACGAAAGCGUGGGGAGCGAACAGG